This is a non-coding RNA of Prunus mume (Japanese apricot), 201 nucleotides long. Lineage: Eukaryota; Viridiplantae; Streptophyta; Magnoliopsida; Rosales; Rosaceae. The record is from RefSeq and is a predicted model, not a curated record.
GGGAUUUAUGAAGGAUGGAGCACGGUGGUUGGUGGACAACACUGACAUUAAACUUGUUGGAAUUGAUUACUUAUCUGUUGCUGCAUAUGAUGAUUUGAUUCCGUCCCACCUUGUUUUUCUAGAAGGCAGGGAAAUCAUUCUUGUUGAAGCCUUAAAACUUGAUGACAUCCAACCAGGAAUAUAUUCUGUCCACUGCUAACC